This 734-nucleotide small RNA is filed under the name Pan troglodytes (chimpanzee). RNAcentral's name for it is "retained intron". The record is from RNAcentral. Lineage: Eukaryota; Metazoa; Chordata; Mammalia; Primates; Hominidae.
CAGAGACCUUUACUAAGCCGACUCACACAGGGAGAUGGGGUACUUUUUAGAAGGUGACAUUUCUCUUGCUGAAACCUGAUCUAUUUUUCCUGUCAAUGCAGAUCUGGAAACAGUUGCCACAUCUAAAGGCAGUCGUGAUAUAUAAAGAACCUCCUCCAAACAAGAUGGCCAAUGUGUACACGAUGGAGGAAUUCAUGGAGCUGGGGAAUGAAGUGCCUGAGGAAGCCCUGGACGCCAUCAUUGACACCCAGCAGCCCAACCAGUGCUGUGUGCUAGUCUACACUUCCGGCACCACUGGGAACCCCAAGGGCGUGAUGCUGAGUCAAGACAAUAUCACAUGGACGGCACGGUACGGCAGCCAGGCCGGUGACAUCCGGCCGGCAGAAGUCCAGCAGGAGGUGGUAGUCAGCUACCUGCCCCUCAGCCAUAUUGCCGCCCAGAUCUACGACCUGUGGACAGGCAUCCAGUGGGGGGCCCAGGUUUGCUUUGCCGAACCCGACGCCCUGAAGGGGAGCCUGGUGAACACGCUGCGGGAGGUGGAGCCCACAUCACACAUGGGGGUGCCCCGGGUGUGGGAGAAGAUCAUGGAGCGCAUCCAGGAGGUGGCGGCUCAAUCUGGCUUCAUCCGGCGAAAGAUGCUGCUGUGGGCCAUGUCGGUGACCUUGGAGCAGAACCUCACCUGCCCCGGCAGCGACCUGAAGCCCUUCACAACCAGACUGGCAGAUUACCUGGUG